RNAcentral lists this ribosomal RNA (301 nucleotides) under uncultured bacterium. RNAcentral describes it as "partial 16S ribosomal RNA". It matches the Rfam family "Bacterial small subunit ribosomal RNA", at positions 509 to 808 of the family's 1533-position model. The record is from RNAcentral.
CAGCCGCCGCGGUAAUACGUAGGUCCCGAGCGUUGUCCGGAUUUAUUGGGCGUAAAGCGAGCGCAGGCGGUUUGAUAAGUCUGAAGUUAAAGGCUGUGGCUCAACCAUAGUUCGCUUUGGAAGCUGUCAAACUUGAGUGCAGAAGGGGUGAGUGGAAUUCCAUGUGUAGCGGUGAAAUGCGUAGAUAUAUGGAGGAACACCGGUGGCGAAAGCGGCUCUCUGGUCUGUAACUGACGCUGAGGCUCGAAAGCGUGGGGAGCGAACAGGAUUAGAUACCCCAGUAGUCCCUGUCUCUUAUACA